Non-coding RNA from Vicia faba (fava bean), 177 nucleotides. Lineage: Eukaryota; Viridiplantae; Streptophyta; Magnoliopsida; Fabales; Fabaceae. The record is from the annotation of a GenBank genome assembly.
CUCCUAAACCUAUUCCUAAUUUUUAUUCUUCAACUGAUUUCCAUGAUUCCCUUAAAGCUCCAAGGGUCAAUUAUCAGAUGGACUUACCUGUACGCCAUAAGCAUCUCAUGCACCAUGCUUAGACCGGAAGAACACAAAGGAAUUAAUGUGCAUUGCUGCCCUAUCAUGUUCCCGUAA